Long non-coding RNA from Priapulus caudatus, 1617 nucleotides. RefSeq lists it as uncharacterized. NCBI's taxonomy places the organism in Eukaryota, Metazoa, Priapulida, Priapulimorpha, Priapulimorphida, Priapulidae. The transcript is spliced from 4 exons. The record is from RefSeq and is a predicted model, not a curated record.
UUGAUUACCGUUGCUCGUUGCAGGCGUUGCACUGCCGUCUGGCGGCGGUGAGCCCCACGUCGGACAACUGGGAGCAGGACGCAUGUCGUCGGUUUGAGGAACUCGUCUGUGGGAAGACGCUGAGAGCACAACUUGAUCGGAUUGAAGUUCUGGAGUCGGGUCUACAGGUAGCACAUGUUUCCCUGUACAAUGGCAGUACGAGUAUAUCACAGCAGCUAGUGGAGGGUGGCUAUGCCAAGCCCUGCAAUACAGGUGCGGAGGGCGAUGGGGAAAAGUGCGCCCCGAAAGACGGUACAAAACCAUGCAAGGAUGAUAAAGCAUGCACAUGCCAAUAAACAUUUCUUCCCUCACAGGAUCGGGAGAUGCCGAAAGCGUGGAGCCGGUGAAUAGUUUCGACAGCGCAUGAAGGGAAUGACGACGCGACAAGUGAGCAUGCCACGCCAUCGGGACAGUGUCAUCGCCUCGUCGGACCGCGCACGGAUGAUGGCUGACCCCCUCGCGCAUUCCCCCUGUGAUGGUGAAUAUACCUACCUACGCCUUGCAAGCCGAGUUCCGAUCAGCAGCAGUAGCAGCGUUUAUAUCCGUGAGUUGCGUGAGCUUGCUAUUUUCGAUCCUCGCAAAAUACUGCGUGCGAGUUUGGUAUGUUGGAAGUGUGCUGGGAUGUACGUAGGAGACACCGAUUCCCACGGUCAGAACUCAACAAAUGAGAUGUGUGUUGCCCAGGAAACACCAGUUAUUGCACUUGAACUCCAUGUUUGUUUUUUCAACGUCAAAUUAUGCAUUUCGAGUGGAGUGUGAUUGCCAGAAUGACCUCAUGAGUUUAAUGUGAAAUCUAUCGAGGACUCUGUAGGAGACCAUAACAUUGUGCUGAUCGAUAUUAUAUGACGCAACGUGAUUCAACCUUAUUGUAUAAGCUAAAUUUUUUCCUCGCGUUUGAUUAGUUAAAGUUGUUUAGUUGUUAUAGUCAUUAAAUUGCAGUUAUAAUACUUCUCUGUUUCUACAAUAUACCUAUCGCAUAUUUACGUAUAGUCACCGAUGGUUGCAGUGCUGCUGCAUAGAUUGUGUAGCCUGAAAUGUCAUUAUCAGUUGUCUAUAAGCGAAAUCGGAUAGACGUUUACUUUUAUAAGCUCAUUCUUUUUGUUAAUAAGGUUAGUCAUGUCCAUGAACGAAUCCAAGGUGACCACUCAGGGUUGCUCGCAAUGAUGAUUAUUCACCCUUGAAAAGUUGGUAACAUUUUCAAAAUCCAGUGCUAAAAUUUGUUUGUCAUAUGCAAUCAAUGUAAAAUCAUACGCAUUCUCAUGUACCAAGGUGAAGGUAUGGGAUAGCAUAUGAAUCAGUGUUGCUUUCAAUUGCUCAUCAUAGUUGAAAUGUAUGGAAAGUCGUUUUGUAUUAUUAUCAAGUGAAGAGCCUAUGGGUAAAUACAGGAGCCGACGACGAAAUGUUGAAUUUAACAGUUUAGUUUCCAUUUGAAAGGCAUUUUUUCUUUGUAAAACAGCUACUGUAUUGCCAUAAAUAAUUGCAAUGGCCUACGCUGGUUUGACAACUGUUUACUUCAAUUAUCUCAUAGAACGUUAUAUUGUAAUAUGCAUCUAUUUAAUAAAGUGUAUUCACAUUUAA